AACCUGGUUGAUCCUGCCAGUAGUAAUAUGCUUGUCUUAAAGAUUAAGCCAUGCAUGUCUAAGUAUAAGCAUUUAUACCGCGAGACUGCGAACGGCUCAUUAAAACAGUUAUGGUUUAUUUGAUGGUUCCUUUGCUACUUGGAUAACCGUAGUAAUUCUAGAGCUAAUACAUGCACGAAGGGGCGACUUACGAAGCCCUGUAUUUAUUAGAUUAAAGCCAACCACCUCCGGGUGUCCGUGGUGAAUCAUAGUAACUUAUCGGAUCGCCGGCUCUAUGCCAGCGACGUGUCAUUCAAAUUUCUGCCCUAUCAGCUUUAGAUGGUAGGAUAUGGGCCUACCAUGGCGGUGACGGGUAACGGAGAAUUAGGGUUCGAUUCCGGAGAGGGAGCCUGAGAAACGGCUACCACUUCUAAGGAAGGCAGCAGGCGCGCAAAUUACCCAAUCCUGACUCAGGGAGGUAGUGACAAGAAAUAACAAUAAACCGGCUUAUGCCGGUUUAAUUGGAAUGAGUACAAUUUAAACAUCUUAACGAGGAACAAUUGGAGGGCAAGUCUGGUGCCAGCAGCCGCGGUAAUUCCAGCUCCAAUAGC
This 590-nucleotide ribosomal RNA is filed under the name uncultured marine eukaryote. Its description in RNAcentral is "SSU rRNA". It matches the Rfam family "Eukaryotic small subunit ribosomal RNA", at positions 1 to 598 of the family's 1831-position model. The record is from RNAcentral.